This 1055-nucleotide long non-coding RNA is filed under the name Anser brachyrhynchus (Pink-footed goose). RNAcentral's name for it is "lncRNA (ENSABRG00000009932.1)". The record is from RNAcentral. Lineage: Eukaryota; Metazoa; Chordata; Aves; Anseriformes; Anatidae.
CCCAACCAUGACCCUAGUCCUACAACCUGAACUCUGCCUUAUCAUAAAGCCCAUCCAAUUCAGUUUUCUUUUGUAGUCCCUGGAAUUAACCCUUGCAAGUCUUAUUACUGGUAUCCUCCUGGUAAACCCUGGCACCUGAGGUUACAGCUGAAAAAUAUUGCCUAGGGGAAAAAAGUCAUUCCUGAAAUUGUCAUAUAGCCAGAAGCUUUUGGUUUAGGGCAACACGGACAGACAGAAGAACUAUUUUCACCUUGGGCCAGCUAAUUCUAAUUCAAUUACCUCCCACUAGAUGUACAGGAAUAUUUGGUGUAACACCUGCCUUUGUUUUAUUUUUCAUGGAAAACAGGCUGAUAUCUCCUCUUUCAGAGAGGGUUUUUUUUUUUUUUUUUUCCCUCUCCCUCUGCCUUUAUCAUCAUCUCUUUCACUCUUUUGUAGGAAGAAGAUGCCCUCCCACCACAGAACAGCAGUCUGGAGACAGGAGAAGAGGCUCUGCUGCAGGCCAACUUGUUCCAUUUCCUUUAUGUCUUUAUGUUGCACUCAAGAGAUGAACCGUCAUGAAGAUUUUGGGUCCAAAGAACGAAAAUGAAGCUGGUGAACAGUCUAGAGAAUAAGCCUUAUGAAGAGCUGCUGAGGGAGCUGUGAGGGAGCCCCUGAUUACCAAUGACCUAUGUAUUCCUGUCAGUGUGAUCAACAGUCACCUGAAAUCAACAACUCACGACUUAAUUAAACAGACUUUAGAUAUAACACUGGAAGAUUCUAGGCUACUUGAAAACAACAGAGAGUUAACAGGUGGAAAACAACCCAGUGCCCUUAGCAUUCAUUGGGGCAAGAUCAAAUUUAAUUUUGGGCUUUGCUGCCACAAAGAAGUACACAAAUAACAGAGUUCUUAUGAGAAGAGAAGAAGCUGGGAUAGUAAGGCAGGGCAGGGAAAUCUGGCCUUGCUGUUCCCACACAGAUGAAGGGAGAGCAGAGACGGAAAACUCUACUCACUGCAUUAGUGGAAGUAGCUGUUCUGACUGCAUCAGUAGUGGUUUCUCUAGACACCUUAAUAUAUC